GUGAAUGAUGCUGCUGAGAACAUUCAUGUACAAGAUUCUGUAUACACAUAUAUUUUCAUGUUUCUUGGGUAGCUACCUGAGAGAGGAGUUGCUGCCUAAGAGUAGUAAGGAAAGUAUAUGCUUAACUUCCUAAGAAACUGCCCAGCUGUUUUUUGAAGUGACUGUACCAUCGACAUUCACACAGCAAUAUGAAAAUUCAGUUUCUCCACAUCUGUGCCAACACUUGGUAUUGGAGGUCUUUUGAAUAAUAGCCUCUUGUGGGUGUCCCAUGUGGCAUUAAAUUGUAUUUCCCUAAUGACUAGUGAUGUUGAGCAUCUUUUAGUAUGUCUAUUGGCCAU
RNAcentral lists this long non-coding RNA (338 nucleotides) under Homo sapiens (human). RNAcentral's name for it is "LHRI_LNC1391.1". Lineage: Eukaryota; Metazoa; Chordata; Mammalia; Primates; Hominidae. The record is from RNAcentral.